AGGCCUGCAGAGAGAGAGGCAGGGUUUGAUCUGCAGCCUCAGUGGCAGCUGUUGAUCAGCCCUUGCCUAUCUCUUUCUAUCCG
Myotis brandtii (Brandt's bat) is the source of this 83-nucleotide non-coding RNA. NCBI's taxonomy places the organism in Eukaryota, Metazoa, Chordata, Mammalia, Chiroptera, Vespertilionidae. The record is from Rfam.